Molecule: ribosomal RNA, 898 nt
Filed under: uncultured archaeon
Lineage: Archaea
Description: bacterial SSU rRNA
Rfam family: Archaeal small subunit ribosomal RNA
Source: RNAcentral
CUGCUAUCAAGGUGGGACUAAGCCAUGCUAGUUGUACGCUUCUAACUAGAGAAGAGUGGCAUACUGCUCAGUAACACGUAGCUAACCUACCCUCUGGAUGGAGACACCCCCGGGAAACUGGGGCUAAUCCCCAAUAGAUAUAGAGGCCUGGAAUGGUUCUAUAUUCAAAUGCAUAAUAACCAUGUUUGUUAUGUGCCAAAGGAUGGGGCUGCGGCUGAUCAGGCAGUUGGUGAGGUAAUGGCUCACCAAACCUUUGACCGGUACGGGCCGUGAAAGCGGUAGCCCGGAGAUGGGUACUGAGACAAUGACCCAGGCCCUACGGGGCGCAGCAGGCGCGAAAACUCCACAAUGUACGGAAGUACGAUGGGGUUACCUUGAGUGCAGUCUGAAAAAGGUUGCUUUUCCAUAGAGUAAUAUCCUAUGGGAAUAAGAGGGGGGCAAGACUGGUGUCAGCCGCCGCGGUAACACCAGCCCCUCGAGUGGUGGGGACUUUUAUUUGGCCUAAAGCGUCCGUAGCUGGCUGUUUCCGUCCCCCGUUAAAUCCAGCGUCCCAAGCGUUGGGCUGCGGGUGAUACCAAACAGCUAGAGGGUGGGAGAGGUCAGCGGUAUUUCUGGGGUAGGGGCGAAAUCCUUUGAUCCCAGGAGGACCACCAGUGGCGAAGGCUGCUGACUAGAACACGCCUGACGGUCAGGGACGAAAGCUGGGGCAGCGAACCGGAUUAGAUACCCGGGUAGUCCCAGCCGUAAACGAUGCUCGCUAGGUGUUGGGUCGGCCAUGCGCCGCCCCAGUGCCGCAGGGAAGCCGUUAAGCGAGCCGCCUGGGGAGUACGGCCGCAAGGCUGAAACUUAAAGGAAUUGGCGGGGGAGCACCACCAGGCGUGAAGCUUGCGGUUUAAUU